ACAUGAAGCUGGAAUCGCUAGUAAUCGCGAAUCAGAAUGUCGCGGUGAAUACGUUCCCGGGUCUUGUACACACCGCCCGUCACACCAUGGGAGUCGGUAACGCCCGAAGCCUGUGACCCAACCGUAAGGAGGGAGCAGUCGAAGGUGGGGCCGGUGACUGGGGGUGAAGUCGUAACAAGGUAAC
RNAcentral lists this ribosomal RNA (184 nucleotides) under uncultured bacterium. RNAcentral's name for it is "partial 16S ribosomal RNA". It matches the Rfam family "Bacterial small subunit ribosomal RNA", at positions 1318 to 1500 of the family's 1533-position model. The record is from RNAcentral.